AACGAACGCUGGCGGCAGGCCUAACACAUGCAAGUCGAGCGCACCUUCGGGUGAGCGGCGGACGGGUUAGUAACGCGUGGGAACAUACCCUUUGGUACGGAAUAGCCUCUGGAAACGGAGAGUAAUACCGUAUGAGCCCUUCGGGGGAAAGAUUUAUCGCCAAAGGAUUGGCCCGCGUUAGAUUAGAUAGUUGGUGGGGUAAUGGCCUACCAAGUCUACGAUCUAUAGCUGGUUUUAGAGGAUGAUCAGCAACACUGGGACUGAGACACGGCCCAGACUCCUACGGGAGGCAGCAGUGGGGAAUCUUAGACAAUGGGCGCAAGCCUGAUCUAGCCAUGCCGCGUGUGUGAUGAAGGUCUUAGGAUCGUAAAGCACUUUCGCCAGGGAUGAUAAUGACAGUACCUGGUAAAGAAACCCCGGCUAACUCCGUGCCAGCAGCCGCGGUAAU
RNAcentral lists this ribosomal RNA (448 nucleotides) under uncultured bacterium. Its description in RNAcentral is "bacterial SSU rRNA". It matches the Rfam family "Bacterial small subunit ribosomal RNA", at positions 29 to 524 of the family's 1533-position model. The record is from RNAcentral.